This 433-nucleotide ribosomal RNA is filed under the name uncultured bacterium. RNAcentral describes it as "partial 16S ribosomal RNA". It matches the Rfam family "Bacterial small subunit ribosomal RNA", at positions 29 to 507 of the family's 1533-position model. The record is from RNAcentral.
AGCGAACGCUGGCGGUAGGCCUAACACAUGCAAGUCGAACGGACUCAUCGUAGUUGGUUGCUGACGGGGGUGUCGCGCGUGGGAACGGGCCGUUAGACUCGGAAUAACACAGGGAAACGGGUGCUAAUGCCGAGAAAGUCCUGCGGGGGAAAGAUUUAUCGUAUUUAUAGAGGCCCGCGACCGUUUAGCUAGGUGGUGAGGUAAAAGCGGAUGAAGGCGACGCUCAGUAGCGGGUCUGAGAGGCUCAUCAGCCACACUGGGACUGGGACACGGCCCAAACUCCUACGCGAGGCAGCAGUGGGGAAUCUUGCGAAAUGGGCGAAAGGCUGACGCAGCCAUGCUGCGUGAAUGAUGAAGGUCUGAGGAUUGUAAAAUUCUUUCACCGGGGACGAUAAUGACGGUACCCGGAGAAGAAGCCCCGGCUAACUUCGUG